UACGGAGGGUGCGAGCGUUGUCCGGAAUCACUGGGCGUAAAGGGCGCGUAGGCGGCCUGAUAAGUAGGGGGUGAAAUCCUGCGGCUUAACCGCAGGGCUGCCUUCUAAACUGUCAGGCUUGAGCACGGUAGAGGCAGAUGGAAUUCCCGGUGUAGCGGUGGAAUGCGUAGAGAUCGGGAAGAACAUCAGUGGCGAAGGCGGUCUGCUGGGCCGUUGCUGACGCUGAGGCGCGACAGCGUGGGGAGCAAACAGG
RNAcentral lists this ribosomal RNA (253 nucleotides) under uncultured bacterium. RNAcentral describes it as "partial 16S ribosomal RNA". It matches the Rfam family "Bacterial small subunit ribosomal RNA", at positions 524 to 776 of the family's 1533-position model. The record is from RNAcentral.